Long non-coding RNA from Gasterosteus aculeatus aculeatus (three-spined stickleback), 1125 nucleotides. Lineage: Eukaryota; Metazoa; Chordata; Actinopteri; Perciformes; Gasterosteidae. The record is from Ensembl.
AAAUCAGAGUCUAAACGGUUGGAGAUUAAAUUCAAAUUUCCUUAGUUUGUGGAUGUUAAUGGAAACUCUUUUUCCAGACAACUCCCAUUGUUCAUAUAAACAACAUAAAAUUAUUGUAUUUUUGUAUUACUAAUUAUUGUAUUAUUGUAUCAAUUAAGUUAAUUGAUUUGAGUGUUACAAGGGAAGUAGACCGACCUGCAUAAUGGAAUAAAGUUGUGUUUACGUUGAAAUGUCUGCUCUGUUUUUUGCCAUUUCAGUCGGCCAGGACAGUCUGAAAAUGCAGGCUAGGCACUACAAAACCUUGAGCAACAUGUACAAUAAGCCAAAUGCAAAACCCAAUCAAAGUGAUGUUGCUCAAGUUUUAGACCUUGAGUUUAAGGCCAGACGGGCUUUCAUUGAUGCAGAUGUUACAAGGGAAGAAGACCGACCUGCAAAAAUCUUUGAGGCAUAUCCAUGCUUUAGAGAUGUUCGAAAUGCAAUGGAUGAGCUGCGGCGCAUAGUAGGUGGCACCAACAGCAGAUACAUCGAGGAAGUGAAAGGAAGAUGGGCAGACUUUUGUGCCAAGGUGCAGUUCUAUGGUGUGUGGAAGAAAGCCCUGAAACCCCCCUUUCCAUUGGAUGUCCGUGGAGUGGAGUUCACGCUUGCCCUCUUCAAUGCACUCCCAUCCCUUUUCCCCUCACCAACUUCACCACCAAAGAAGCUUGGAAAUAGCUGUGAGGCACUUCUUCAUGUCCUGAAGGUAAAAACAUUUUUGUGUGUUGAUUCCUUACUGUCCUCUUAUUUUCUCACAUUUGUUGUGCAUGUUCACAUAACAAUACACCCUAAGUUCACAAUCACAGAUACUUUUUGCAAAAAAGUGUUUCUAGUGUCCCUCAAAUGGUGUUCACAGAAAGGAAUACCAAGAAAUGUUUGAUUAAACAAAAAACCUUUGAUUAAUUCAUCCAUUAAUUCAUCCCAGAAACAUAAAAAUGCACCUUGCUUGCUUGUAUCCAUUGUUAAUCCAUCCUAAAUUCUUACACCUUGAUCUGUCAAACAAAUGUUGCCCAUUUUGAAGUAAUUCAUGAUUAUUUCUUCCAGUGUAAUAAUAAAUCAAUAUUUUUCAUCAGUGUUUGUAUAUAAUAAUGA